UACGUAGGUCCCGAGCGUUGUCCGGAUUUAUUGGGCGUAAAGCGAGCGCAGGUGGUUUAUUAAGUCUGGUGUAAAAGGCAGUGGCUCAACCAUUGUAUGCAUUGGAAACUGGUAGACUUGAGUGCAGGAGAGGAGAGUGGAAUUCCAUGUGUAGCGGUGAAAUGCUUAGAUAUAUGGAGGAACACCGGUGGCGAAAGCGGCUCUCUGGCCUGUAACUGACACUGAGGCUCGAAAGCGUGGGGAGCAAACAGG
RNAcentral lists this ribosomal RNA (252 nucleotides) under uncultured bacterium. RNAcentral describes it as "partial 16S ribosomal RNA". It matches the Rfam family "Bacterial small subunit ribosomal RNA", at positions 524 to 776 of the family's 1533-position model. The record is from RNAcentral.